This is a long non-coding RNA of Lutra lutra (Eurasian river otter), 1747 nucleotides long. RefSeq lists it as uncharacterized. The record is from RefSeq and is a predicted model, not a curated record. Lineage: Eukaryota; Metazoa; Chordata; Mammalia; Carnivora; Mustelidae. The transcript has 2 exons.
CUGAUUUCAGGGUCCCGAGUUCAAGCCCCAUAUUGGUCAUGGAGCCAACUUAAAAAAAAAAAAUCUCUCUUAAUUCAGGGGUGCCUGCCUGACUCAGAGGACCAUGUGACUCGAUCUUGGGGUUGUGAGUUCACAGCACAUGUUGUGUAUAGGGAUUACUAUAAAAAAUAAAAAGUGAAAUAUCUAAGUGUGUUUUAAAAUAGAAUUUUAAAAUAUUUUAAGUAUUUGUUAAAUAUUGUUUAUGUAGGCUCUUAAUUAACUCUUGCCUAGAUUUUUAUAGUAACCUCCUCACUAGUCACCCUCCCUCCAGAUUUGUUUCUCUUUGUUUUACCUUCUAAGAGAAGCUGCACAUGUUUCUCAGUGGUUUCAAAUUCCUGAGUUCUUUAAUAUUCAUAGCCUCCAAAAUAAAAGUCAGACCACCUUGUGUGACUGACAAGCUCAUCAUAAUGUAUCCCUUCUCUGUCCUUCCCUUUUGCCCUUCCCCAGUAUUUUACCUUGUGUGUCAUUCUUACCAUGGUGCUUUUCUUUGCUACUGAGCUUUACACAUACUAUCUCUGCCUUUAGUGACCUUGACUUACCUUAGACUUCUUUUUUUUAGUAUAUGUGCUGCCGAAGCGAGCACUACCUUAGACUUCUUUAAGGCCUAUCUCUGCCAUUUGCCUCUCCCAGAAGCCAUCCUUGACCUAUUCCAUGGGCUGUAGCCCCACUGCAGUUCCUUUGUGGUCUUCCCCAAUAGACUAAUGACAAGGAUUCUCUCAUUUUUUCAAUUCCAUCAGUCAGUGAAUAUCUUCUAAAUAACUGAAUAAUGUUAACAUUAUCAUAUUGUUGCAACUCCUGAUUUGAGAACUGUAUGUUUGUACAAAUAGUUUAAUAUUUUGACUGUAAUGCAGAUUGUGUUUCUUCUAGUGUUCCACAAUGAUGCAAAAUCCCUUUCUGCACAAGAAAAAAAAAUACACGCACAAAGUGAAUUUUAAUACCUGUAAAAAUUAUUCUUACUAGUUUUUGUUUAUGGUGCUGGCUAUGGAUCCAGUUGACAGAUCUAUCCAGUAGCAUUUAUGAGUGCUACAAAAGAAACAUUUCAUAUAUGAAAUACGUAUGAGUCAGCUCUCGCUGCCGGAACAAAGUAUCAUAGACUGGGUAGCUUAACCAACAGAAAUUGUUUUCUCCUGGUUCUGGAAGCUGGAAGUCUAAGAUCAGGUAAAGUUCUGGAGAGGGCUAUCUUGCUGGUUUGCAGAUGGCCACUUUCUUAACUGUGUCCUCACAUGGCUAGGUGGAGGGAGCGGGGAGGAAUCAAGAGCUCUCUCUUCCUUUUUUUUUUUUGUAAGGCCACAGCCCUAUCAGAUUAGGGCCCUACCCUUAAGAUCCAUUUAACUGUAAUUACCUCCUUAAGACCCCACCUCCACAUAGGCUUCAACACAGAAAUUUGGGGGGAGACACAGUUCAGUCCAUAGCAAAUAGUUAAAAUAUUACAAGGUAUUACUGAUUCAGGGUUUAAAUGACUGCACCAGAGCCAGUGUAACAUUAGAGUUUAGAGUAGUGAGAGCUGUAUGAGUCCAAGUAAUGGAUGGAGAAUUCCUAAGGGAGGUAGAUGUUAAACAGUAAAUCAGGUGUGCAUAAAUAUAGAGAAAUGAGCAAGGCAUUCUACUGGCCGUGUAUGGAUAGUCAUGAUAUGAGCAUGGCAGCUUAUAGAACAUUGAGAAAACCAUGUAGACAUGUAAAAAAAACUUCUCUGUAAAUGUAUACUCCG